Molecule: unclassified non-coding RNA, 219 nt
Filed under: Hevea brasiliensis (rubber tree)
Lineage: Eukaryota; Viridiplantae; Streptophyta; Magnoliopsida; Malpighiales; Euphorbiaceae
Source: RNAcentral
GGUUCUUUUGCAUUUUGAUUGGCAAGAAGGAAAUCAAUCACUGCUCCUGGCUUCACAAUCAUUGUGGUUGACACAUCCAUGUUCAAUGAAAGGCCUCCCUGCGUGGCCCGGAAGCUUGCAUGGAAACCUCGGCAUCCUGAAACUCCUCCACCAAGAUCAACAAAGUUUCGAGGCUCAUUGUGAAAAAAAGACUGGCGCACAAUAAGGCAGCCCCGUUUG